RNAcentral lists this ribosomal RNA (893 nucleotides) under uncultured bacterium. RNAcentral's name for it is "bacterial SSU rRNA". It matches the Rfam family "Bacterial small subunit ribosomal RNA", at positions 8 to 916 of the family's 1533-position model. The record is from RNAcentral.
AGAGUUUGAUCAUGGCUCAGGAUGAACGCUGGCGGCGUGCCUAAUACAUGCAAGUCGAACGGGGUGUUUGAGCAAUCGGACACUUAGUGGCGAACGGGUGAGUAACGCGUUGGUGACCUACCCCAAAGCGGGGGAUAACAGCCUGAAAGGGUUGCUAAUACCGCAUAUAAUCUAGAGGGCUUAGAAGCUUUAGAUAAAAGGAGAAAUCCACUUUGGGAGGGGCCUGCGUCCCAUCAGCUAGUUGGUAGGGUAAAAGCCUACCAAGGCGAUGACGGGUAGGGGACCUGAGAGGGUGACCCCCCACAAUGGAACUGAAACACGGUCCAUACACCUACGGGUGGCAGCAGUAGGGAAUAUUGCACAAUGGGCGAAAGCCUGAUGCAGCAACGCCGCGUGAGUGAUGAAGGCCUUCGGGUUGUAAAACUCUUUUCAAGAGGAAGAGGAAGGACGGUACUCUUGGAAUAAGCCUCGGCUAACUACGUGCCAGCAGCCGCGGUAACACGUAGGAGGCGAGCGUUAUUCGGAUUUACUGGGCGUAAAGCGCGUGUAGGCGGCUCUAUAAGUUGGAUGUAAAAGCUCCCGGCUUAACUGGGAGAGGACGUUCAAAACUAUAGAGCUUGAGUACGAGAGAGGAAAAUGGAAUUCCGGGUGUAGUGGUGAAAUGCGUAGAUAUCCGGAGGAACACCAGUGGCGAAGGCGAUUUUCUGGCUCGAGACUGACGCUCAGACGCGAAAGCUAGGGUAGCAAACGGGAUUAGAGACCCCGGUAGUCCUAGCUGUAAACGAUGUAGACUAGGCGUUGGUGGAGUAAAAUCCAACAGUGCCGCAGCAAACGCGAUAAGUCUACCGCCUGGGGACUACGGCCGCAAGGUUAAAACUCAAAGGAAUUGACGG